GGCACGGCGGCUCCACCGGGCUCCGGCGACGGCACCGCCGCCUGCGACGGUGAUCCGUCAUGGGUUGGCCGUUAUCGGUCGAAUUCAGCCAAACUUGCAUUGGUUCAUCCGAUAAAACAACCCCUGGGCCCUCGGUGGGCUAAAAAAUCAUGAAAAAUAGAGACUUACCAGCGACGGAGCUCUCGGGUGCGGCAGCUUCUCCGGCGCGAGUCACAAUUUGAUGUUUUGCUCCGGUCAACCUGUAGAGAAAAGGACGAUGAUCACAGUGGUGUAAAAAUUGCAUCGAACGGGAACCUGAAAGGGCCUCAUUGGAGGCAAAAAUUGAGGGAAGUCGCGGCAGUGCCACUGGACUUUGCACAGUGUUUUCUG
Molecule: long non-coding RNA, 369 nt
Filed under: Carica papaya (papaya)
Lineage: Eukaryota; Viridiplantae; Streptophyta; Magnoliopsida; Brassicales; Caricaceae
Description: long non-coding RNA (CPAP_LNC001561)
Source: RNAcentral